GCUUUGAAGCAGCAAGCUGAAAUCUCAGACUGCUCUGUAGAUGAAUAUGUACGUGAAAUGCCACAGCUGUAAAAUGAGAAGUUCACUAAGUGUUUUGCCUGAAUAAAGACAGGAAAAAGGUGCCCAGACAGUGAAUUCACUCCCCACACCACCUGGAUUAGCCACCCAAAGGCAAAAUGGUAAUUCCCUUCAAACCCCAUGUGUAUCCAGGAUAAUUUCAGAAACCUAUAGCACCAUCCUAGCCUAACAGGAACCCAACUUUGCUGCUCUGUGAAUCGAGGAAACCUCUAAAUGGAACAUGGUUCAUUGAAAGUGAAAUUUCCUUGGUGCCAUCUUUGAGUCAUGGGUACCUCCUCUUCAACAUCAUCUGCAAAAUUCUGUGCAAGGCAACAACUUAUUUAAUGUUGUCUGAUAUAAGCAUAAAGGAGAGACUGCAACUGGGAUGUUUACACUGCCGUUGCAGAUUGUACAGGAAAUAAAUUAUGCAGACAUAGAUACUUAAUGCAGCAGUAAUAAUGUUAGCUAGAAAGCCUCACUUUGAAUUUGAAAGGAAAAUAGAAGACACCAGAGUAAGGAGAUUGGCCAAAAGAUUCUAUCAACUGUUAGUCCGUGUAAGCCAGAGUCCUAUUAGUCUCCAGCUAUGCUUCUGAGUCAGCUUGCUGGAUUAGGAGUGCCAGAUUCUGCUUUGCCUCUUAGUGCAUGUCAAUAUUGGAACAAGCCGUAAAAAGGCAGGUUCUGUUUCACAAAUACCUCCGAGUCUUUCAAAACUUUUGAAACCUUCUGAAGCCUGUAACCAGCUAUGGCUGUUGAAACCUCUGCUUGCAGAGUGGAAAGAUAUCAGUAUGAAGAGCCCUCCCCUGCAGAGCUGUCUCUCCUGGACAUCUCUGGAAGCUGAAGCCUACGGAGACAACAUGACACAGUCCAGGCAUACAAGUCAGUGUGAAAUGCAAAGAGGUAAGGCUGCAGCUUUUCUCCCCCGGAGGAGGAGAUGUGGCAUACCCUGUUUCCCUGACAGUUGUGCAGUGUUGUGCAUGGCAACUUUGGAUGCUGAUUCUUCUCUCCAGAGCAGUGCUGUCUAAGACACAUCUUCCUGACUCCACAGAGUCUCAGCCCUGCUUUCUUUUAUGCAGCAGAAUUAGCAGGCAGUGGAUUCAGACCCUCAGCGUCACAUUUUCAUUGAUAUUUGUGGCAAGCACUGUCCUUCCUUGUUCCCUUGUUCUAACUGGUCUGUCUAUUGUUUAAAUGUGCAAUAUAAGAGCGAUGAAAACAGUGGCAAACUAUGAGAAUUCAAUAAAACUGUCUCCAUUGUGAUUUGAGUAGGAUGAUGAGCUAGAGUGAAGGUACAACUAACUAACUCCAGUGUGAUGCCCACUUGGGAUGGAUUCCUGCCUUUCCCUCACUCCACUGCCUCUUACUCCUGUCCUUGCCUGUUCCUUAGCCUUCCAUAAAACUUGGGGGAAAAAGGUGUGGUCUUACGUUUAUUCUGCAAGGUUAGUGAGUGGAACUGGCUUAUGGAGGUGGAGAUUGGAAGGACUAGGGUGGAGGUUGAAAUGCAUGGCUAAAACCAGGAUUUGCACAGCCAGGAUAGGAGAGGUAGAAAGAAGAAAAAUGACUAUGGAGCCUGGAAGGGGAUAAAAAGCCUUGCCUGUUUAGUGAAGGGAAUAUAUUUGAUCAGUUAACUGGAACUGUGGUCCCUGUGUUUAACCUUAAUUAUUUCUGCUUCCACUCUCUCAUCCAUUAGUCAGGCUCUUCUAAUUAAUAAGGCCUUCACAGAAGGGAAUGUGCAUAAUUGUGCAGAGUGGACUCUGAGAUACUGGGGAACACUGAUGCAGUAAGUCUAGGAGGUCCAGCUCAAGUAUUGGUAACUGUUGGAUUGUUUCCUUUGUUUAAAUGAUUGUGGCUCUUUUUAGAGUGCAUAGAGUGAUAUCCUCUCUUGUUUGAAGAAAAUAGGACAUUCUGUUUUUCUAGGUAACCUGCACUCUGCAAAAUGAGCAGAACUAACAGGUAGAGAACUUCCUGACUUGUGAAGCAGAAGCUGGGUGAAAAACAGAAGUGAAUUGGAGCAGAGGUUGUUCCAAAAAUUUGGAGCAUGUUGAGAACCAAGGCGCAGGUACAGGGAGAAGUGUGUUUAUGAGUGGUGUUCAUGAGGUUGCAAUCUUCAAUUCACCUCACCUUAGAUUUAGGCUAAUCAGAUUUUUUAAGUCUAGUUCUUUGACACCCUUUUGAAAAUUAAAUAUUAAUGACCUGCUACAACAGCUGGUGUCAUGGUACAGACUGGCACUGGGCUCUGUGCCUUUGGGCUUAAGCCUUCUAAUAAAUCUCACAAGUAUUUAUUUGCUUGUUGCUGCAUACAGUGGAUGAGGUGAAGCAUAAGUAGUGGCAUUCCAUAGAGGGAGUGAGUAAAACUGUGCCUUUAGACAUACCAAAUUAAGUUCACUUUGUGAAGUUUCAUUUUGGAAAAGUCCUUUGGUGUUCUUCCUGGUGCAGAGUUAGCAGGGAAUGAACUGGGGCAGCUGAGGCAACAUUUGGCUUGAAGGGUAAGAGCUGCCAACAGCUGAGUGCCUCAGGGAAACACAGCCUAGUCAGUUCUGCCUUGGCAUGGGGACAACCUCCAGCUAAAACUGAAGUUACUUCCCUCAGCAAAUAGGUGUUGCUGAAGAAUACAAUUAAAACAAACAAAAAAAAACCAUCCCUCUUUGUGUAGGACAUCAUAAUUACAAAUAAGACAUUUAUUUUUAUGGAAGAAUUAUUCAAGGAUCAUGAAACAGAAAAUAAGCCAGCUUGAGAAUGUUGGAAAGUGUUACACCGGAAACAUUGAUAUAAAUGUAGCAAAUUGUGGAAAACAUGAAAUUAGGUAAAGUGCUCCAUUUUCAGUCAUAUCAGUAGGACCAUUAGCAGCAAUUAGGAAACAGCAGAAUUUAGGGUAUUAAAAAUGAAGAGGAAAUAAAUACAUUUAGUAUUUUUUUCUGAAAUACAAACUAUUUGGAAAGCCCUCAGUGUCCUCCAUCGCAAGGAGUUGUGCAUGUAUUAAGAAAGAGAGGCAGGGCUUGUGUGCUGUAAUUGAAAUUUAACACUGGCAACGAGGAAAGUCAGCAAAGUAUCUGCAGCACAGAUAGGCACUGUUUGCAUGCAUGGCUUAUGCAGUGGUCCUCUCCUUUUAGUAACCCAUCCAGCAUU
This is a long non-coding RNA of Poecile atricapillus (Black-capped chickadee), 3177 nucleotides long. RefSeq lists it as uncharacterized. The transcript is spliced from 5 exons. Lineage: Eukaryota; Metazoa; Chordata; Aves; Passeriformes; Paridae. The record is from RefSeq and is a predicted model, not a curated record.